Molecule: ribosomal RNA, 305 nt
Filed under: uncultured bacterium
Lineage: Bacteria
Description: partial 16S ribosomal RNA
Rfam family: Bacterial small subunit ribosomal RNA
Source: RNAcentral
ACAGCAGUAGCCGCGGUAAUACAGAGGGUGCAAGCGUUAAUCGGAAUUACUGGGCGUAAAGCGCGCGUAGGUGGUUUGUUAAGUUGGAUGUGAAAGCCCCGGGCUCAACCUGGGAACUGCAUCCAAAACUGGCAAGCUAGAGUACGGUAGAGGGUGGUGGAAUUUCCUGUGUAGCGGUGAAAUGCGUAGAUAUAGGAAGGAACACCAGUGGCGAAGGCGACCACCUGGACUGAUACUGACACUGAGGUGCGAAAGCGUGGGGAGCAAACAGGAUUAGAUACCCGAGUAGUCCCUGUCUCUUAUAA